RNAcentral lists this ribosomal RNA (465 nucleotides) under uncultured bacterium. RNAcentral's name for it is "bacterial SSU rRNA". It matches the Rfam family "Bacterial small subunit ribosomal RNA", at positions 338 to 795 of the family's 1533-position model. The record is from RNAcentral.
CCUACGGGUGGCACCAGUGGGGAAUAUUGGACAAUGGGCGAAAGCCUGAUCCAGCCAUGCCGCGUGUGUGAAGAAGGUCUUCGGAUUGUAAAGCACUUUAAGUUGGGAGGAAGGGCAGUAAGUUAAUACCUUGCUGUUUUGACGUUACCAACAGAAUAAGCACCGGCUAACUUCGUGCCAGCAGCCGCGGUAAUACGAAGGGUGCAAGCGUUAAUCGGAAUUACUGGGCGUAAAGCGCGCGUAGGUGGUUCAGCAAGUUGGAUGUGAAAUCCCCGGGCUCAACCUGGGAACUGCAUCCAAAACUACUGAGCUAGAGUACGGUAGAGGGUGGUGGAAUUUCCUGUGUAGCGGUGAAAUGCGUAGAUAUAGGAAGGAACACCAGUGGCGAAGGCGACCACCUGGACUGAUACUGACACUGAGGUGCGAAAGCGUGGGGAGCAAACAGGAUUAGAUACCCUAGUAGUC